AUACUUACCUGGCACAGGAGAUACCGUGAUCACGAAGGCGGUUUUCCCAGGGCGAGGCUCACCAUUGCACUUCGGUGGUGCUGACCCUUGCGAAUAACCCAAAUGUGGUUAUCUCGGGUGCGAAAUUUUUGUUAGCUGGGGACUGCGUUCGCGCUAUCCCCUU
Molecule: small nuclear RNA, 163 nt
Filed under: Procambarus clarkii (red swamp crayfish)
Lineage: Eukaryota; Metazoa; Arthropoda; Malacostraca; Decapoda; Cambaridae
Description: U1 spliceosomal RNA
Rfam family: U1 spliceosomal RNA
About the family: U1 is a small nuclear RNA (snRNA) component of the spliceosome (involved in pre-mRNA splicing). Its 5' end forms complementary base pairs with the 5' splice junction, thus defining the 5' donor site of an intron.
Source: RNAcentral